This 197-nucleotide long non-coding RNA is filed under the name Cotesia glomerata. Its description in RNAcentral is "uncharacterized LOC123260176". The record is from RNAcentral. Lineage: Eukaryota; Metazoa; Arthropoda; Insecta; Hymenoptera; Braconidae.
GAAAUAAUAAUAUCGAAUGAUAAAUAAAAAAAUGUUUUUUUAAUUAAAGGAAAUAUUUAUAAUAAAUAUUUGUUAAUGUAAAGUGUUCUUGUGCAUUAAAAAGUGAAAUAUUUGGAUUUAAAAUGGAAACCAUAAUAAAAACGGGAUUUCAAUCAAUAACCCACGAAAUUCAGUUCCAGCCACAGACAUUGGUAAAA